ACGUGCAUUGUUUUAGUACUACUUAAAAAGCAUAAGGUUCCCGUUUCACAUUUCUUCCCACCACCUCUUCGUCCAACCUUUCAUCACUUAAUAAUUUUUCAAUUUAACCAGGGGAAGGGUGUUUACCAGUUUGCCGACAAGUAUGGAGCAAACGUUGAUGGGUACAGCCCGAUAUAUACACCAGAAGAAUGGUCUCCAAGUGGUGACGUUUAUGUUGGAGGAAAGACAAGGCUGUUUCUCUGGGCAGUCACUCUUGCUGGAAUUCUGCUGGGCGGUGCUCUUCU
Aegilops tauschii subsp. strangulata is the source of this 284-nucleotide non-coding RNA. The record is from RefSeq and is a predicted model, not a curated record. NCBI's taxonomy places the organism in Eukaryota, Viridiplantae, Streptophyta, Magnoliopsida, Poales, Poaceae.